UACGAAGGGUGCAAGCGUUACUCGGAAUUACUGGGCGUAAAGCGUGCGUAGGUGGUUUGUUAAGUCUGAUGUGAAAGCCCUGGGCUCAACCUGGGAAUUGCAUUGGAUACUGGCAGGCUAGAGUGCGGUAGAGGAUGGCGGAAUUCCCGGGGUAGCAGUGAAAUGCGUAGAGAUCGGGAGGAACAUCCGUGGCGAAGGCGGCCAUCUGGACCAGCACUGACACUGAGGCACGAAAGCGUGGGGAGCAAACAGG
Molecule: ribosomal RNA, 253 nt
Filed under: uncultured bacterium
Lineage: Bacteria
Description: partial 16S ribosomal RNA
Rfam family: Bacterial small subunit ribosomal RNA
Source: RNAcentral